AACGUUCUCUUUUCCAAUGUCCAGAGAAUACCCAAGAAUCGGGAGACCCAGUAAGUAUGCAACUGCCAUUCAAAGAAUAAUAGCUCAGAGAAAAAAUUACCCAGAAAAUGUGCAGCUUCAUGCCUGGCAAUUCUAUCCUGAUAAUCAGGGAAGAAGGUUGAGAAUGCACCGAUUGCAGCCUGAAGAA
Helianthus annuus (common sunflower) is the source of this 187-nucleotide long non-coding RNA. RefSeq lists it as uncharacterized. The transcript has 2 exons. The record is from RefSeq and is a predicted model, not a curated record. Lineage: Eukaryota; Viridiplantae; Streptophyta; Magnoliopsida; Asterales; Asteraceae.